UACGUAGGGAGCGAGCGUUGUCCGGAUUUACUGGGUGUAAAGGGUGCGUAGGCGGGGCAGCAAGUCAGGCGUGAAAUACCGAGGCUUAACUUCGGAGCUGCGCUUGAAACUGUCGCUCUUGAGUGAAGUAGAGGCAAGCGGAAUUCCUAGUGUAGCGGUGAAAUGCGUAGAUAUUAGGAGGAACACCAGUGGCGAAGGCGGCUUGCUGGGCUUUAACUGACGCUGAAGCACGAAAGCAUGGGGAG
RNAcentral lists this ribosomal RNA (245 nucleotides) under uncultured Oscillospiraceae bacterium. RNAcentral's name for it is "partial 16S ribosomal RNA". It matches the Rfam family "Bacterial small subunit ribosomal RNA", at positions 524 to 768 of the family's 1533-position model. The record is from RNAcentral. Lineage: Bacteria; Bacillati; Bacillota; Clostridia; Eubacteriales; Oscillospiraceae.